RNAcentral lists this ribosomal RNA (406 nucleotides) under uncultured bacterium. RNAcentral describes it as "partial 16S ribosomal RNA". It matches the Rfam family "Bacterial small subunit ribosomal RNA", at positions 29 to 526 of the family's 1533-position model. The record is from RNAcentral.
AUUGAACGCUGGCGGCAGGCCUAACACAUGCAAGUCGAGCGAGAGGCGGACGGGGGAGUAAUGCCUAGGAAUCUGCAUGGUAGUGGGGGAUAACGUUCGGAAACGGGCGCUAAUACCGCAUACCAUCGGCCGUGCCCAGAGGGGAUUAGCUAGUAGGUGGGGUAACGGCUCACUUAGGCGGCGAUCACUAGCUGGUCUGAGAGGAUGAGCAGCAAAACUGGAAGUGAGACACGGUCCAGGCGCCUACGGUAGGCAGCAGUGGGGAAUAUGGAACAAUGGGCGCAAGCCUGAUGCAGCCAUGCCGGGUGUAGGAAGAAGUCCUUCGGGUUGUAAAGUACUUUCAGCGGGGAGGCGUUACCCGAAGAAGAAGCACCGGCUAACUACGUGGCAGCCGCCGCGGUAAUAC